RNAcentral lists this non-coding RNA (738 nucleotides) under Diaphanes sp. FM11. Lineage: Eukaryota; Metazoa; Arthropoda; Insecta; Coleoptera; Lampyridae. The record is from RNAcentral.
AAAAAGUUUAAUUUUAGUUUAAAAAUUUGAUUUAUUAUUACUUUAUAUGUAAUUUUUCUUAAAAAUAUAAUAAAUUUUGCAGUAAUUAAUUUUAUUUUAUUAAAAAUUUAAUUUUAGUUAUUAAUAUUAGAUCUAAUAUAAUUUGUGCCAGCAAUUGCGGUUAAACAAAUAGAUCAAUUAAAUAUUUAUUAGUUAUAAUAAGUUAUUUAUUAUUAAAGAGUAUAAUUUUAAGGUGAAAUUUAAAUUUAUAGUAAUUUUUUAAAAGGUAAUGAUUUAAUAAAUUUGUGUAAUAAACUAGGAUUAGAUACCCUAUUAUUUCAAUUAUAAGUUAAUUUUCUUAAUUAGUAUUAGUUAUGUUCUUUAAAGUUAAAAAAUUUGGCGGUAUUUCAUUCAGUUUAGAGGAACCUGUUCUGUAAUCGAUAAUCCACGAUAUGUAUUACUUAUUUUUAGCUUGUAUAUCGUUGUUAAUGAAUAUCUUUAUAGGGAUAAUUUUCUUUUAUUUUUAUUAUAAUAAAUUUCAGAUCAAGGUGCAGCUUAUGUUUAAGUAGAAAUGGGUUACAAUAAAUUUAUUUUUGGUUAUUAAAUUUAAAUUUUUAAUAUAAAUUGGAUUUAAUAGUAAUUAUACUUAUUUAUGUAUAGUGAUUAUUGUUCUGAAAUAUGUACAUAUUGCCCGUCGCUCUCAAUUAAUUUGAGAUAAGUCGUAACAUAGUAGAUGUACUGGAAAGUGUAUCUGGUGUU